Molecule: ribosomal RNA, 485 nt
Filed under: uncultured bacterium
Lineage: Bacteria
Description: partial 16S ribosomal RNA
Rfam family: Bacterial small subunit ribosomal RNA
Source: RNAcentral
AUUGAACGCUGGCGGCAUGCCUUACACAUGCAAGUCGAACGGCAGCACGGGUGCUUGCACCUGGUGGCGAGUGGCGAACGGGUGAGUAAUACAUCGGAACGUACCUUAUCGUGGGGGAUAACGCAGCGAAAGUUGCGCUAAUACCGCAUACGCCCUGAGGGGGACAGCGGGGGACCGUAAGGCCUCGCGCGAUUAGAGCGGCCGAUGUCUGAUUAGCUUGUUGGUGAGGUAAAAGCUCACCAAGGCGAUGAUCAGUAGCUGGUCUGAGAGGACGAUCAGCCACACUGGGACUGAGACACGGCCCAGACUCCUACGGGAGGCAGCAGUGGGGAAGUUUGGACAAGGGGGGCAACCCUGAUCAAGCAAUGCCGCGUGAGUGAAGAAGGCCUUCGGGUUGUAAAGCUCUUUUGUCAGGGAAGAAACAGCAGCUCUAACACAGUCUGCGAAUGACGGUACCUGAAGAAUAAGCACCGGCUAACUACGUG